Long non-coding RNA from Felis catus (domestic cat), 724 nucleotides. RefSeq lists it as uncharacterized. NCBI's taxonomy places the organism in Eukaryota, Metazoa, Chordata, Mammalia, Carnivora, Felidae. The record is from RefSeq and is a predicted model, not a curated record. The transcript has 2 exons.
UGUUGUGGUAAUGAGAAAUAAAUAUUUGGUAUUCAUUUCUGGCACAGAGCUCCUAAAACUCUUGGAAUUACUUAAGAGAGCAACAUAGGUGUCUUUUGUUAUGCUAAUGAGGUGACUGUACUUUAGAAUGCGGGCUGGUUGCUAGGAGACCCAACCUCAUGAUUAGAGGGUUGGAACUUUCAGGUGUACUCCAGGGAGGGGAGAGGGGCUGAAGGUUGAGUCAACGAACUGCCAGCAACUGAAGAUUUAAUCAGUCAUGUCUUAGGUAAUGAAGCGUCCAUAAAACCCCAAAUGAAUGGGGCUUGGAGAGGUUCCAGGCUGGUGAACGCAUGGAGAUUUGGAGAGAGUAGUACGCUGGGAUAGAACAUGGAAACUCGGCGCUCCUUCCCCAUACCUUACCCUAUGGAUCUCUUUCUGAAUCCUCAGGCGGUUCCUGAAUUACAGCUGUUUAUAAUACACCAGUAAUCUACCAACAGGAUUUAUAUAAGAGGAAAAGAAGAAAAAAGGAAGAAGGAGAAAACACCAACUACAUGGAAAUGUGACCUGUUUUCAUGUCCUUGGGUAAAUUGGUGAUUGGCUGGCAACUCUCUGGAACUGGUUGGGGUCUUCUGCCUUGGACAGCUGGAUAGAUCAUUGGAGAAGACAAUUUCAGUUAUGAUGGAGUCUUUGAAAAACCUCAAGAUUUUUUAACCAUAAAAUAUACCUGCCAGGCUAUUCCUCAAAA